GCCUGUAUAGCUUAGUUGGUAGAGCACUUGCCUAGUAAGCAAGAGGUCACCGGUUCGACUCCGGUUACAGGCU
Molecule: non-coding RNA, 73 nt
Organism: Nymphaea colorata (pocket water lily)
Lineage: Eukaryota; Viridiplantae; Streptophyta; Magnoliopsida; Nymphaeales; Nymphaeaceae
Source: the annotation of a RefSeq genome assembly